AACGAACGCUGGCGGCAUGCCUAACACAUGCAAGUCGAACGAGACCUUCGGGUCUAGUGGCGCACGGGUGCGUAACGCGUGGGAACCUGCCCUUAGGUUCGGAAUAACUCCCCGAAAGGGGUGCUAAUACCGGAUAAUGUCUUCGGACCAAAGAUUUAUCGCCUUUGGAUGGGCCCGCGUUGGAUUAGCUAGUUGGUAGGGUAAAAGCCUACCAAGGCGACGAUCCAUAGCUGGUCUGAGAGGAUGAUCAGCCACACUGGGACUGAGACACUGCCCAGACUCCUACGGGAGGCAGCAGUGGGGAAUAUUGGACAAUGGGCGAAAGCCUGAUCCAGCAAUGCCGCGUGAGUGAUGAAGGCCUUAGGGUUGUAAAGCUCUUUUACCCGGGAUGAUAAUGACAGUACCGGGAGAAUAAGCUCCGGCUAACUCCGUG
RNAcentral lists this ribosomal RNA (433 nucleotides) under uncultured bacterium. RNAcentral's name for it is "partial 16S ribosomal RNA". It matches the Rfam family "Bacterial small subunit ribosomal RNA", at positions 29 to 507 of the family's 1533-position model. The record is from RNAcentral.